GUGCUCACUUCAGCAGCACAUAUACUAAAAUUGGAACAAUGUAGAGACGAUUAGCAUGACCCGUACACAAGGAUGGCAUGCCAAUUCAUGAAGUGUUACGUAUUUUU
RNAcentral lists this small nuclear RNA (107 nucleotides) under Dasypus novemcinctus (nine-banded armadillo). Lineage: Eukaryota; Metazoa; Chordata; Mammalia; Cingulata; Dasypodidae. The record is from RNAcentral.